RNAcentral lists this ribosomal RNA (279 nucleotides) under uncultured bacterium. RNAcentral's name for it is "partial 16S ribosomal RNA". It matches the Rfam family "Bacterial small subunit ribosomal RNA", at positions 506 to 784 of the family's 1533-position model. The record is from RNAcentral.
UGCCAGCAGCCGCGGUAAUACGGAGGGUGCAAGCGUUGUUCGGAAUUAUUGGGCGUAAAGGGGAGGUAGGUGGUCUUGUUUGUCGAGGGUGAAAUCCCGGGGCUUAACCCCGGACGUGCCUUCGAAACGGCAAGACUAGAGUGCUGGAGAGGCUUGUGGAAUUCCCGGUGUAGCGGUGAAAUGCGUAGAGAUCGGGAGGAACAUCAGAGGCGAAGGCGGCAAGCUGGACAGUUACUGACACUAAACUCCGAAAGCGUGGGGAGCAAACAGGAUUAGAUA